RNAcentral lists this long non-coding RNA (295 nucleotides) under Homo sapiens (human). RNAcentral describes it as "HSALNT0322680". Lineage: Eukaryota; Metazoa; Chordata; Mammalia; Primates; Hominidae. The record is from RNAcentral.
GUUUUUUAGUACUGUACAUAAUGUUUUAUUAAUUUGUCCUUUUUGGCUGCUGCCAAGACAGCAUAUAUGGAACUGAUUUUUGAACCUCAAGAAACUGACAUUUUGAAUUCUGCUUUGUAUCAUAAGCCUCAAAUGCAAGAAGCUGUGAUUAGAAUGUGAUAAUAGCCGAGGUGCCAUAAUUCUCUGCUGUUGUAUGAGGUUUGUGCAGCUAAAAUAUCUGACUCCUAAAAUGGAGUUUCCUGAAAUUAUUCCUUACUCAUAGUGUAAUGAGGUGAACUAGUUUGCAAUUUUUCCG